AGAGUUUGAUCCUGGCUCAGGACGAACGCUGGCGGCGUGCCUAACACAUGCAAGUCGAACGGAGAAUUUCGCAGAGCUUGCUCGAAGAAGUUCUUAGCGGCGGUGAGUAACGCGUGGAUAAUCUGCCUGUAAGACAGGGAUAACGCCGGGAAACCGGUGCUAAUACCGGAUAACCUCUUUGGAUCGCAUGAUAUGAAGAGAAAAGGUGGCCUCUUAACAAUGCUACCACUUACAGAUGAAUCCGCGUCCCAUUAGCCAGUUGGUGGGGUAAAGGCCUACCAAAGCGACGAUGGGUAGCCGGCCUGAGAGGGUGACCGGCCACACUGGAACUGAGAUACGGUCCAGACUCCUACGGGAGGCAGCAGUGGGGAAUCUUCCGCAAUGGGCGAAAGCCUGACGGAGCAACGCCGCGUGAGCGAAGAAGGUUUUAGGAUUGUAAAGCUCUGUGAUAUUGGACGAACAAUUUCCCGUAAAUAAUGGGAAGGGAUGAACGGUACAAUAAGAGGAAGCCACGGCUAACUACGUGCCAGCAGCCGCGGUAAUACGUAGGGGGCGAGCGUUGUCCGGAAUUACUGGGCGUAAAGGGCGAGUAGGCUGGCAAGUCAAGUCAGAUGUGAAAUACCACGGCUUAACCCUGGAGCUGCAUUUGAAACUGUAAGACUUGAGUGCAGGAGAGGAAAGUGGAAUCCCCAGUGUAGCGGUGAAAUGCGUAGAUAUUGGGGGGAACACCAGUGGCGAAGGCGACUUUCUGGACUGUAACUGACGCUGAGGCGCGAAAGCGUGGGGAGCAAACAGGAUUAGAUACCCUGGUAGUCCACGCCGUAAACGAUGAGUGCUAGGUGUAGAGGGUAUCGACCCCUUCUGUGCCGCAGUUAACACAAUAAGCACUCCGCCUGGGGAGUACGGUCGCAAGACUGAAACUCAAAGGAAUUGACGGGGGCCCGCACAAGCAGCGGAGCAUGUGGUUUAAUUCGACGCAACGCGAAGAACCUUACCAGGACUUGACAUCCCUCGCUAUUGUCUGAAAGGAUGAAUUCCCUUCGGGACAGAGGAGACAGGUGCUGCAUGGCUGUCGUCAGCUCGUGUCGUGAGAUGUUGGGUUAAGUCCCGCAACGAGCGCAACCCCUAUCUUUAGUUGCCAGCAUUAAGUUGGGCACUCUAAAGAGACUGCCGGUGUUAAACCGGAGGAAGGUGGGGAUGACGUCAAGUCCUCAUGGCCUUUAUGACUUGGGCUACACACGUACUACAAUGGCCGGUACAAAGGGCAGCGAAACUGUGAAGCUAGAGCAAAUCUCACAAAGUAUGUCUCAGUUCAGAUCGAAGUCUGCAACUCGCCUACAUGAAGUCGGAAUCGCUAGUAAUCGCAGGUCAGCAUACUGCGGUGAAUACGUUCCCGGGCCUUGUACACACCGCCCGUCACACCACGAAAGUUGGCAACACCCGAAGCCGGUGACUCAACCCGUAAGGGAGAGAGCCGUCGAAGGUGGGGUUAGUAAUUGGGGUGAAGUCGUAACAAGGUAACC
Molecule: ribosomal RNA, 1523 nt
Filed under: uncultured bacterium
Lineage: Bacteria
Description: bacterial SSU rRNA
Rfam family: Bacterial small subunit ribosomal RNA
Source: RNAcentral